UGUAUGUACACGAAGGAUUUUUAGGUUAAAAUUUGUACCUGCCAGCAAAAACAAAUGGUAAGCUAGUGUGCGUGAGAUCGUGCUUAGAUAACUCUAUGCUUCCAGCGUGAGAGAGAGAAACCGUUAGGAGAGAAAAACAUCCAACCCGCGCUCUCGUAAACAUCUGUCGGAUAGGUGCUUGCAAUUUAACUUACACGACAAUGUAAACAAUCUUUGCUUGGUUGCGGAUAGGACUUUUCAGAUUUUUAUAGUUUUUGAUGUUUUUGAAAUGAUUUUUUGCCAAAGAAGUGCUAGAAUCUUGUUGAAGGCUGAUUAACUAGAGUUCAGAAUCUGCUGCACUGGUUUUGAGGACACAUCGGCAACGGCGAGAACAAAACUGAGUCGAUCUCGCUGCCCGGAACGAGAAGCGCAAGAACGACGACCCUCCAAGCUGGAGACUUCAAAAAAUGAGCAAUCAACCACUUGGCUGCCGUUGUCCACUGAAAAUUUUGGCUCGAGCCAAAAUUCUCGGUGGGUGGUGUCGUGAAGGCGGUUUGCUGACGAAAGUAGCAGUGGUAAGAAGGACAAGCACCGGUAGAACGGCGAGCGAGACAACAAUAAAAACCGGGAUCGGAACUAGGAUCGCGAUCGGGAGAGGGAAAACGACCGUCACCGGCACAAGUACAGUUCUUGGUCGGGUUAACAGUCGAAUUCAUCGUCCUCGAAGCACCACCAGGAGGAACGCCAACGAAAGCUUUCCCACUCGUCGUCGUCCUCGAAUCAGCAUCCACACAGCAGAGCAAGUAGCCGGCGAGAAUCGACCUCGAACGUUCGAAGGACAAGGAGGUCAGCGGCAAUGUCGUGAGCGUUCCAGCUCUGAUGGUUUCACCCGCCGCGGCCGAAUUAAAAGUCCCGGAAGCGGCCGUAGACGUGGUGGUCGGUGCAUCACGUCGUUGACAUAAACUGUUGAA
Long non-coding RNA from Culex pipiens pallens (northern house mosquito), 950 nucleotides. RefSeq lists it as uncharacterized. The record is from RefSeq and is a predicted model, not a curated record. Lineage: Eukaryota; Metazoa; Arthropoda; Insecta; Diptera; Culicidae. The transcript has 3 exons.